Molecule: long non-coding RNA, 217 nt
Filed under: Ananas comosus (pineapple)
Lineage: Eukaryota; Viridiplantae; Streptophyta; Magnoliopsida; Poales; Bromeliaceae
Description: long non-coding RNA (ACOM_LNC041873)
Source: RNAcentral
CAAGAAAGUGUAUUGCUCGGGCGAAAACCAGCUUUUUCUGCUUGCUGUACCGGUACAGCCAUUAGCUUGUACCGGUACACAAUGCAGAAACGUGGCAGCUUGGGUAUUUCGGUAAUUUCACACUUGAUCUCUAUCUUUAAGACCCCAGCUCGACCAGGGAUACUCAGUGGAGCCUGCUGGAGUCCAGAGGAGUGUUCUCCCAUCUUUCUCUCUCUCU